CGCUGGCGGCGUGCCUAAUACAUGCAAGUCGAACGGUCUUUCUAUGGAAGCUGCUUCCACUGAGAAGAUAGUGGCGAACGGGUGAGUAACACGUGGGGUAACCCUGCCCAUAAGAGGGGGGAGUAACAAUCCGGAAACGGGUGCUAAUACCGCCAUAGUUUUCUUGAUCGCAUGAUCGGGAAAGGAAAGACGGCCUUUGUGCUGUCGCUUAUGGAUGGACCCGCGGCGUAUUAGUUAGUUGGUGAGGUAACGGCUCACCAAGACGAUGAUACGUAGCCGACCUGAGAGGGUGAUCGGCCACAUUGGGACUGAGACACGGCCCAAACUCCUGCGGGAGGCAGCAGUAGGGAAUCUUCCGCAAUGGACGAAAGUCUGACGGAGCAACGCCGCGUGAGUGAAGAAAGGUUUUCGGAUCGUAAAACUCUGUUGUCAGAGAAGAACAAGUUGGAGAGUAACUGCUCCAGCCUUGACGGUAUCUGACCAGAAAGCCACGGCUAACUACGUGCCAGCAGCGGC
RNAcentral lists this ribosomal RNA (516 nucleotides) under uncultured bacterium. Its description in RNAcentral is "bacterial SSU rRNA". It matches the Rfam family "Bacterial small subunit ribosomal RNA", at positions 34 to 518 of the family's 1533-position model. The record is from RNAcentral.